Long non-coding RNA from Nelumbo nucifera (sacred lotus), 1550 nucleotides. RefSeq lists it as uncharacterized. NCBI's taxonomy places the organism in Eukaryota, Viridiplantae, Streptophyta, Magnoliopsida, Proteales, Nelumbonaceae. The record is from RefSeq and is a predicted model, not a curated record.
ACAAACCGUAUGGCUAGCAUUUCUCAUAAACUCUUUUAAAUGGUUGUUGCAUUUUAAGGCCGUCGACGGUGGUCUCGACCCUCUCUCUCUCUCUCUCUGGGCUCCUUCCGGUGGCCGGUGUGUGAGGGUAGUUAAUGGCUGAGACUCAGAGAGUUCAUCUUCGCUGAAACAUGUGAGUGACAUUAAAUAAACAAAUAAAUAAAGUGGGCAACAGACCCACUUCGACGUCUGAAGGGCACUUGACCGGUUGAGCCUAGACGUGAUUAAUUUUCAGAAUUCAGACCCAUCUUGGUUAUCAAUUUGAAAUGUCACAAAAGCAGUGUGCGUGGUCAACCAAAGCUCUAGAAGCUCUGGAAGCUGGUGGUUACAGAGAGAUCAUCUUGAUGCCUCUGGUAGCUCUCCCAAGUUCCAAUUUUCUUAAUAUAGCAACAAGCAACAUUUGCAGAGACGAUGAUGGUGCCAGCUUCUGAGAACAUGGAUGAAGCUACUGGGACUAUAGUUAAAAUCACGACAAAAUAGAAGAUGAUUGUCGGUGGCUAAAGGAGGCAUUCUCCUUGAUUAGGCAUUGUCUAAUCCCGUUGUUACCGUUCGAAGAGAUAGUAAUUUGGAGUUUAUAUACUUGAGAAAAUGGCUAGGCAGCCACAGAACUUGAUCCUGUUGAGUCAAGAAGUUCUGGUUCAAAAGCAUGACCGAACAAGGAUCUACAUGCUACAGUUUGAUGUGCAACAGCCACGACGUUGCAGACAGAUUGUAUCCACAAAGAGAUAAUCAUAAAAUUCUAGCUUGAAAAUGCAAAUUGACUAGCUUUUCCAUAUUGAGACUUGAGAUGCUGCCCCUUGGAGCAUACUUGGUAGGACACAAGGAUGUGACAAAAACUGCUUUUCACUUUUGCUUGCUGAUCUCUAACGGUUUUAGAACACAAGUUAGUUUUCUUUAUUCUUAUCCUCCCAAGUUGAAUUUGUCUUCAUAGUCUCAAGAUAAUGAAUCUCGAUGCAUCUUCUGUUUUCGGAUGAGUUAUUGACCCAUCAAUUCUUUUCCUACCGUCCAAAGCAUUUAAAGUUGUUCAUGAGAAGUUGUUUGAGUUCUUUGAUGUUUCUUCUCCUAGCCUAAAGAGCUUGAGGUGGUAAUACCAAUUUAUAUUGGUGUUGUAUGAAACUUUCUUCCCAAAUAUUCAUUUAGACCAUUCAUUAAAGAUUAUGUCCUCUCUGUCUCUGGUUGAUGCAUACAUUGGCUUGCAAACUUGUUAUCAUGAUUUGAGAAGGCACAACAACAACAACAACAAACUAUAUUGAGCUGAAUUGUAAUUUCGAUUAUGUAAUUGAGGUUGCAUCUCACGCCUCUCCUUGGGAAGCCUUCAUUGUAUACUUUUCUGCUUAUUGAUUAUUUAAUAAGCCUUCUAUUACUUAUCAAAAAAAAAAAAAAAAGACACGAGAACAAAUAUGUUUUGUGCCUGUAAGUUUCUUUGAGGGCUUUGUAAUGCAAAAAAUGUCUUUCCGUUUCAUCUAUUCUCUUGGCAGCCAUUUGUUGAGAAAGUUUUCUGGUAUUUCUUA